This 675-nucleotide small RNA is filed under the name Pongo abelii (Sumatran orangutan). RNAcentral's name for it is "processed transcript". The record is from RNAcentral. Lineage: Eukaryota; Metazoa; Chordata; Mammalia; Primates; Hominidae.
ACAUACAAGAAAUCAGGAGUAAGAAUGCUUCAAACUUCCCAACAGCAAUACUGGAAUUGAGAAUACGUUGGAGCAAUACUUCACAUUUUUGAAGUAAAAUGAUCUCCAAACCAGAAUUCUAUACCCAGCCAAACUACUAAUGAGGAAGCUACUAGAGGAUGUGCUUCACCCAAACAAGGGAGUAAACCAAGAAAGAGGGAAACAUAGAACACUGGACUUAAGAAAUCCAACAAUGAGAAGCAAAGGGAAUCUCCUGGAUGAUGAUAAAGAGAGAGCCCAGGAUAAAAGCUGUAUGCCAGGGAAAGUCCUGAUUAGACCAUGUGACAAGUCUUCAGGAAAGACUGCUUCUGGAUGAUAAAAUGAACUGAAUACCUGUUAAGAGACUUGGGGGGUCAAAUUUGCAAUAAGUACCAAACAAAGAAGAAUUAAAAAAUGAUAAGUCCCAAGGGAAACUAUAUGUUGUAAAGAAAAAGUAGCUAUAGUUUGUUCAUGACAUAACUGUAACUUGCCUUGUACAUGAUAAUAUAAACACCGAAUCUUCCUCACUUUGUGAAAGAACAAUAUUGGGCAAAUGCGCAGGUUUUGGAAGUUUCCAUGUGUAGGGGGAUGGAGGGAGAAAUUAGCAAAAUCCUCCUUUUCUAUAGCUAAUACCUAUAAAGUGCUACAACACCCAGA